This 65-nucleotide transfer RNA is filed under the name Pterobdella arugamensis. Its description in RNAcentral is "tRNA-Ser". The record is from RNAcentral. Lineage: Eukaryota; Metazoa; Annelida; Clitellata; Hirudinida; Piscicolidae.
AGAAAUCAAAGGUUACACAAAAAGCUUCUAACUUUUAGUGGGUAGUUCAAUUCUACCGAUUUCUU